ACUCCUACGGGAGGCAGCAGUGAGGAAUAUUGGUCGAAUGGAGGGAACUCUGAACCAGCCAUCCCGCGUGUAGGAAGACGGCCUUAUGGGUUGUAAAUCUACUUUUAUACAGGAAGAAACGUACCCUCGUGAGGGUGCCUGACCGGUACUGUAGGAAUAAGCACCGGCUAACUCCGUGCCAGGCAGCCGCGGUAAUACGGAGGGUGCGAGCGUU
This 214-nucleotide ribosomal RNA is filed under the name uncultured bacterium. RNAcentral's name for it is "partial 16S ribosomal RNA". It matches the Rfam family "Bacterial small subunit ribosomal RNA", at positions 335 to 542 of the family's 1533-position model. The record is from RNAcentral.